AGUUUUGCGCAGUGGCAGUAUCGUAGCCAAUGAGGUUUAUCCAAGGCACGAUUAUUGCCAACUGAAAACUUUUCCCAAUACCCUGCCAUGGCGACUUGAAAUAUAGUCGUCACUGGCAAUUUUUGACAGUCUCUAUGGAGA
This is a small nuclear RNA of Sapajus apella (tufted capuchin), 141 nucleotides long. RefSeq annotates it as U4 spliceosomal RNA. The record is from RefSeq and is a predicted model, not a curated record. The transcript has a single exon. NCBI's taxonomy places the organism in Eukaryota, Metazoa, Chordata, Mammalia, Primates, Cebidae.